CCCCCACUUCUGAUCUCUGUGAGUUCAAGGCCAACCUGGUCUACAGAGUGAGCUCCAGGAUAGGCUCCAAAGCUACACGGAGAAAUUCUGUUUCGAAAAAACAAACCAGACCAAAAAACAACACAACCCCACUUCCUAUGCUUAAGAUUUACUUUACAUUUAGGAAAAGAAAGGCUCUUUUAAAUUUCUAGUGAUGCAUGUCUGCUGUACCCAGAGACCACAUGUGACAGAAGUGUAACUUCUCCACCUUUUGUGUUUUUUUUACACAGUUCAGUUAACCCAUAAACACAGAAUAUGGCAUUUUAUAAUUCUUGUUGUGAACAUAGGAAUGAUAAAGGUGUAAGUCUUUUCUUUAGUUAAAAAAAUACUCAAAUGCUGUUAGAGUAACCUGUAGGUUAAUUCAGAAACCUAUAAAUAAGAUACCAGAAUGAAAACACUUUGCCUAUCCCUUUAUAUUUCAAAUAGUUACAAUAUAUCUGAUUCUUAGUUAAGUUCUUUUUCUCUCCCAUUUCACUUAUGAUGAAAUACCUUGGGAUGGCUGUCUCUUCUUUCAAAUCAGAAAACACAGGAGAUCUUCUACCUGUAUGUGACUCAGAAAUACAUUUUUAACUUGGUUUCAUGAACCACAGACAUGACUCAAUGGGUAAAGCAUCCGCUAACAAGCCUUGUGACCUGAGUUCAAGCCCCAGAACCCACAUAGUAGAAAGCGAGAACCAACCCUAAAGUUGUCCUCUGACCUCCCUGCGGGCACUGUGGCGCUUGUGCCCCCACCCCCAACAAUAAAUAAAUUUACCUUUAAAAAAUAUAUUCGUCCUAAGCUUAGAUUCACAGUUGUGGGCUAGAGAGAUGGCUCAGCAGUUAAGAGCACGGGAUGCUUUCCCAGAGGUCCUGAGUUCAAGUCCCAACACUGACAUGGGAGCUCAUAGCUGUAACUCUAGUUCCAAGGGUUCUGUUCCCCUCCUGGCCUUCAGCACCAGGCACAGAAGUGGUGGACAGACAUAUAUGCAGACAGAACACCCACACACAAAAUUAAAAACUGAAAUUCUUGGUCUGGAAAACAUUGACACAACAUUUCAUACUUGAAAGCCAGUGAAAAAAAUUAGCUUUGUCACUGGAGUUUUUCCUCUCUAAACUCAGAGAUAAUGGCAGGAAGUCUGUCCUGAUAAUCACAGGAUAGCAAAGAACAUUUCAUAAAAGAUUCUGAAGUGGGGGUGUAAUAAAUUGCAAUGUGCUUUGUAAUGAGUUAUUGUAACUGGAUAAAGUUUCCCAGUGUUUAAUUUGGAAGUCGGUGUGUUGUAAGAAUUCUCAUCUUUUAAAACUGUCACGUGUUGUCAUGAGCCCUAGCUCCAGACCCUCUAGCAUCUCCUCUGCCUCCUCUUGCCAUCGGAACCCACUCACCAGCGCUGCAUGCUAGCUUGGCACCUCUUCUCAAGGUCACACGCUUCCUCGGCAGUAUCUCCUGCAGCUGCUCACUCCACCUGCGGGGUCCUCUGCUCUUCAUCCCCAUCCGUCCAUGUCCUGGUUCAGUGCCUUCAAUAGAACUUUUUAGAAAGGUGGGAAAAUUCUUGGGACAGCAGUUAAAAGCACUGGCUGCUCUUCCGGAGGAUCAUGUUCCAUUCCCAGUACCUACAUGACAUCUAGAGCCCUCUUCUGGCCUCUGCGGGUUCCUGCACUCACAGAUACGUACUUAACACAGGACACAUAUGCAGAUGCAUGAAAAUAAAAUCUUUAAGAAAUGAAAAACAUGGACUUCAUGAAAUAUAAAUGCUGAUCACUUCACAGCUUGUAAUCAAAGUUUAACCCUAAACCCUUGUAAUUAAACCCAAUAUAGAAAAUAAAAAUUUCAGAGGCUCCGUAUCUCACAGAUAGUCUGUCCUCAGCACAGUGCAAUUAAGUUGGAAAUCAAUAUCAAGAAAAAGUAGCAUAGAAGUCUGGACCUAGUGACACACACCUCUAAAUCCCACUACUAAUCUAAGACCAGGCUGGGCAACUCAGUGAUGCCGGCCUAAAAACUAAAGAGGACUGUGGUGUGGCUUAGUGACACAGAACACUUGCCCAUAGCCUGCACAAGGACCAAGCCCCAUGUACUGUUACACACACAAACACACACACACACACACACACACACACACGGAAACAUAGAACAUCCAUUUGAAAACUUAAAAGCAUACUUCUAAAUAACUUGUAGAUUGAUGAAUUCUUAAAUAAGAUUAAAUCUAAUUUAGAAGUUACAGUGAAAAUAUAGUGUUUCAAUGAAAUUUUUUAUUUUAUGUGUUUGGAUGUUUUGUCUGCAUGUGUGUUGCCCACAUGUGUGCCUGGAGACUAAGGAGGUCAGAAGAGGGCAUUGGGGCCCUUAACACUGGAAUUACAGUGAUUGUGAGCCAGCGUGUGGAUGUGGGAACUGAAUUCAGGUCCCUCUGCAUAGACAGUAAGUGCUCUCAACCACUGAAGCAUCUCUCUACCCCUCUGGACUUCAGUUUUUGCAGCAUGUUACUUGUAGUGGUUCUUCAGCAAAACUUGUAUUUAAAAGAAUUUUUUUAAAACUUUGUGCAUGCAUGUCUAUAUUCAGACAAAAUGCAAUGAAGAUUUCUUUAAAGUUAAAUUUGGUUUUUAAAAAAAGGUGAGCAAAUCUACAAGAGAGAGAAGGGAGCACUCAAAAUAGAUGUACAGGUUGAAAAGGUGAAUGGCUUAGUAUAAUUUUAGAGGAAUCUAUUUCAAAACCUAGGAGAAAUACCUAUUUCUAGAAACAUAACAAAUCAUAAAAAGAAUUAGGUCAGGUAUUAAAAGUCUUCUCACUAGGAAACAUGGAAGCUCACAGUUGUCGCCACCUUUUGAUGGGGUCACACAUCCAAGUUAAACAAGACACAAGAGUGCAGGUGGACUUCCCUGAUGAUCUGGAAACUGCCUCCCACUUUAUAACUGCCCAGACCAUGAGAAUAUCCUGCUCAGAUACCCAGGGUACGGAGGAGGGACGAUCCAAACUCAGUAAACAGUUUCUACUGAAUGUUCAAAGUGCAUAAGCUAGGGACCAUCUAAAUAACCAUUGCAUUUUCCAGAUAACUGAAAAACUGGGAAAGUUCAUCAGCUUGAGAAUCAUAACCUUGAUACCUAAACUAGAAAUAAACAGUACAAGAAAGUAACUUACAGGGGCUGGAGAGAUGGCUCAGUGGUUAAGAGCAUUGCCUGCUCUUCUAAAGGUCCUGAGUUCAAUUCCCAGCAACCACAUGGUGGCUCACAACCAUCUGUAAUGAGAUCUGGCGCCCUCUUCUGGCAUGUGGGCAUCCAUGGAGGCAGAAUGUUGCAUACAUAAUAAAUAAAUUAAA
Molecule: long non-coding RNA, 3323 nt
Organism: Alexandromys fortis (reed vole)
Lineage: Eukaryota; Metazoa; Chordata; Mammalia; Rodentia; Cricetidae
Exons: 2
Source: RefSeq, a predicted model, not a curated record